Long non-coding RNA from Chinchilla lanigera (long-tailed chinchilla), 4840 nucleotides. RefSeq lists it as uncharacterized. NCBI's taxonomy places the organism in Eukaryota, Metazoa, Chordata, Mammalia, Rodentia, Chinchillidae. The transcript has 4 exons. The record is from RefSeq and is a predicted model, not a curated record.
GCCCAGGCUGGCCUCAAAUCCACAACAAUCUUCUUGCCUCAGCCUCCCGAGUGCUGGGAUUAUAGAUGUGCCCCACCCUGCCCGGCCUAAGAUGGGGAUAUUUUGAGGGAAAAAUAACGGCAAUGUGUCUUUUAUUGUAAUAAAUUUCUCUUAUUCAUAUGCAUACCAUAGUUUUUCAUCAGUUCUUGUAGUUUAGUGCGAAGGCUCUGGGUUCAUUCUCCAGUACUGAAUAAAAAGUGGAUCUCUACAAAUGUGAGAUAAGCAAUUACUUGAAGUGAUGUAAAAAUUUAACAAUCACAGGGUCUCAUAAUUCUAAUGACUAUGUAUGGGGUGUGCAUGUAUGUCUAUAGUAGUAUAAAGUAGUGUAGUGAGAGAGAAGCAAUCAUGAGGGACAUGUAAGUGAGAUCGUGCGCCUUGGGGGAAUCACACCUGUUCCAGCUCCACUUCCUAUUGGCUCCUUGAUUCCUUACCAUCUCUCGAAGUCCACACUCUCUGGCCAGGUGAGCACGCAGUUCCUUUCAAAAUGGUGAGUCACUUUAAUCUCGCUUUCUUCUUAGUAAUAGUGAAGGGUGGGGCUCGGGUAGAGGGAAAGAAUGAAGUGCGGGAGUAAUCUGAAUCUUGGGAAAUGGCAACAUUUAUUAGAGAUAGAAAGUAUUAGAAAUGAAAAAAAGGAUAUAAAUAAAGCUCUCUAGAAGCUCUGAAGGAGAGGGUUAUCUUUUGGGGGCAAUGAGGAAAGUCUUUGUAGAGAAGAUGACGUAUAAACUGGGCCUGAAAGGAUGGAUGGGGUUUUGAUAAGUAGGCACAGGCAGGAAAAUAUUCUUUGAAGAGGCAAAUAGCCCAACAGAGGUGUCACAGCACAAAAUGCAAGCCUGUUCUGGGAAAGAUAGGUCAUUCAGUGUUGCUGUAGUUAAAAUGAAGAGGGUGGGUAGAUGCCAAGUAAUAAGAGGCUCUAAAUGCUAGGAUGGGAUUUCAUUUGGUGUACACAACCCACCAAAUAUGCAUGGGCAUGUCUUAAGGCUUUUACUUUCUAUGGUUUGAUUUUUUUUUUUUUUAGCAUCUGAAGUCUUCUAAGAAUGGGCUAUUACACUAUUGAUAAGCCAAUUAUUUGUGUUUUAAAGGCAAGGGUGUGGCCAGCUUCAGGAGAUUCAGAGGAUCACAGACAUCACUGGACUUUUGACAUAUUAUAUGUAGUAAUUUCUUUUCUUUUUUAUUCACCCAUUUUUAUCCCCAUGGUUAGUUACACAGUAAGUGUAGAAGAUUGUGUUUUCAUAAAUGACCAAAUCAAGAUCUCCCAUCUACAUACUCUCUUUACACAGUGUCUUUGACAUUUGUCAUUUUAAUGAGCCUUGAGCCUGAGACCCAGUGCCCGAUACCCACAGUUUAAUUUACUCAUGGUUUCAGUCCUUUGUCAUGGCUCCAAAGCAGAGACAUCACAGUAGAAGAGUGUGGCAGAACAAAACUGAUUAGUUCAUGGCAGCAGAGUAGGGCAGCACUGCCAGCAGAGCAGGGGACCAGACAUAAACCCCAAGGCCAGGCCUCCAGGCCACCCAGACACACCUAGAAGUGUGAUCCCCUAGUCUCCAGGGCAGACUUUCAAAGCAAAUCAAGUUGAAACUUCACCCUAAUCAUCAACUUGUCUUGUCCUGAAGUGAUUUCUAUGUUCUCCUCCUUAGGUUGGUACAUGACCGCAGUGGUAGUGACCCCAGUUGACUUUCAAGGCUAGGCCAUAGACACCGUGAAGCUUCCUCCUGGUUCUUGUGGGGUACUCACCUUUGGAACCUUAACCACAGUGGAGGAAGUGAGAGACCUCUGUGCUGUCAUGAACCCAGGCAGUGCCUACCAGAAAGAAGUCAAGUGGCCUCAAACUCUGGAGUUAUCUGUGUGAUCUUUGGAAUUAGCAACCUGAAAACAGAGCAGGGAGAGAAUGUGUUAGCCAAGGAUGCCAUGGUGGUAGGUACCAAGGAUCAAAGGAGUUGCUCCGCUGGAAGCCAGCAUGGGUAGAAGAUGAUGGCAGGACUGUCUUCAACUGGUACUCAAUGGAGUAAGGACCUCUUCAGGUCCUGAUGGGAAGGUGUGCUCUCAAGAUUUCUUGAGUUCCCCUCGGAGGUAUGGAGGAGGAUUCUCUCUCCACUUGAGCAGCUCACAUUGGACCCCAAAAGGAGGAGGAUGCAGUCUGUCUGCCUAUCUGUCUGCCUGCCUGAUUCUGCUCCAUCAAGUCCCCCAAGAGCGAAAAAAAUGCGGAUUCAAAACUGCAAAUUGUCUGUAGCCUGUCAAACUGCUAAAGUACACCUCUCCUGCCUGUAAAGCCAGUUCAAGACCUCUGAGCUGCCAAUGCCACCACAGUUGACCUCUCUAUUCAUUACCUUAGUCUUCUGCCACCUACAGCCUACUGGUACACCUGCCUGGACCAAAAAGAAUGCCUUCUUCUUCCUUUGAUUGGCUCCUGUCAGCCAGCCUGUCUUUGCCUUUAAGUGGAAGAACCCCAGUUCUGGACUCAAAAGUCAAUUGACCUGGACUCAGUCUCCCAGAGGUUCACAAACUUGCUUACCCUCUUUGUAGAAGCCCUCACAACUGCCCUUGCUAAUUUCCCAGCACGGAAAUCACUACAUUUCUGAUUAAUGACACCCAAGCUGCCUGCUGGAAAGGCACAAAAGCUCUACUGUAAUAUCUGGCAGAAACUGGUUGCAAGAAAGAAAUGCAGCAAAUUUCUUAGAGCUGCUGGCUUCUAUAGAAUCUGGAUCCUUGAGUUCACCAAAACAACGAUGUUUACUUAGACUUUCAGCCCCUGAGAGAACCCCAUGGCCUACCUGUUCAAAUACUUAGAUCCAGUCACUAAGGGCUGUUUCCCCUCUUUGCCUCUGCAUUCUAAUAGCCUCUGUCCUUCUGAUCAAGAAAGCUGACAAGCUCACCUUAGGCCAAGAAUUAGCUGUCCAGGUGCCUCAUGCUGUACUGGACCUCCUGAAUAACUGUGGAUCACUCAGUCCUGCCAUAUACCUGCCCACUAAGCUGGGCCCACCAUACCAUGACUGAAAGAUAAACCCCCUGACAGAUGCUGAGUAUACACUGUUUACAGAUGAAGGUGGCUCUGUUAGGAAUGGAGUCUGACAGGCUAAAUAUGCUGUGAUCACCUUGGACAAAGUUACUUUGACCAAAGCUGUCCUGCUAUUGCUUCCUGCUGCUGUUUGGAAACUUGCCACCAACAAUGCCAAACCUGUGCUUCUAGGCCCCCUCUGGGGAUCUGAUUGACAGAAACAUCAACCCCAGCUAGAAAAACUAUACCCAGUAUUCCCAGAAGAUCCAUUGUAAUCAGAACCAGACCUGCCCCCCACUGUAUGUUCUGCAAGCUCAAGUGACAGCACUGGCAUGCAUACCCUGUAGCCAGCUCAGGCUUCAGCAUCUGUGUCACUGACCCUGACCUCCCCCCCAUUAAAGAUAUACAGAUAGACUUCACAGAAAGAAGUAAAGCCUUACAGGGGUUACAAAUAUCUGUUAGUGUUUGUCUGCACCUACUCAGGUUGACCCAAGAUAUUCCCUAUCCACACAGAGAAGACAAUAAAAGUUUGUAUGGUUCUGCUGUGAAAAAUCAUCCCUUGAUAUGACCUACCCUUUGACCAUUGGCAGUGACAAUGGCCCUGCAAAUGCAAAUUCCCACGAGGAGUUUGUGGUUUGUUUCCCUUAUUAUAGGAGUUUUCCUCAAAUUGACUCUGACAAGGGAGUAGAGGAGUUAUUCUGAUGUAGGAGGAUGUCCAGUGUGUCUUGGACAUUCAUCAAAUCUUUAUCAUUUAUAAGGGCCUCACUGGUUAUUUUUUAUUCUCUCAUGGCAACCAUCCAUAGAGCUGGGGUAAGUAUCCUGAAAAGGCACAAAAAGGGGAAAAAUUCGUUGAAGUGUACAGCAAUCCUGUGAAAGGCUUUGAGUGUGUCAUAACUAGUUCCAUAAAAAUUUAGGUAAAAGACCAGCUGCACCUGUAGACACCCCUGCACACAUAUAACCCAGGUGCAUAGUAAUUACCUCUAGAACUCUUACAGUUUUAGAAAUCCAGCCAUUCCAGAAUUUACCUGGACUAGACAGCUCACUCUGAAGAGAUGAUGUACUCAGAGCCCUACUCUGGUUACUCUGGAUGCUGACCAGUCCACGCAUGGGUGAAACCUGAGGACACUGUUUACAGGAUUGCUCUAUACCGCAAUGCAUUAUUCCCCUUGAUUUUUGUGCCUUUUCAGGUUGCUUACCCGAGUCCUUGCUUUCAUUUCAGCUGUAUGGAUGAUUGUCCCAAGAGAAUAAAAAUAACCAGUUUCAGUGUUUCUGUUUGCCUUAGCAAGAUCAGUCUUAGAAACUAAAUUCUGCAGGUCCUGAAAAGUGGAUGAAGCCACCCAUGGUCUUUGUUCUUGAUCCAAGACACUGCCUACCAGGUCUUAUAUCACUGACCUAGCAGCCUUUAUGAUCAAGCAUAUGUUCUUGGAAAGUGCGAGUUUGCUUCAGGUUAAUCCCAUGAUAUAGUUGCCACAUCCUUGACUGUGGCAUAAAGGAAAUAUCAUAGAAAGUUCAGCAUUCAGUUACUGUAUUUAAAUAUUCACAUUGGUAAGAGGAAGAUGCUCAUGGCCUGCCAAGGCCUAAGGUUGGGCAUUUUUCUAUCUUGAGGCUCUAAAUAGCCAUAAGUAAUUGUGUGUGGUAGUUAUGGUUGAUUGUGCCAACUUGAUUGCUCUGGAGCCAUGGGAGGAAUUAGUAACACACACUUUUAGGUGUGUCUGGGUGGGUCAUGGAAGUGUGACCUUGGGGGACUAUAUAUAUGAUCCCUGAUCCCUUUAUCUCUGGCACUGUUCUCCUGCUCUGCUUCCCAGAUAC